This is a long non-coding RNA of Eucalyptus grandis, 621 nucleotides long. RefSeq lists it as uncharacterized. NCBI's taxonomy places the organism in Eukaryota, Viridiplantae, Streptophyta, Magnoliopsida, Myrtales, Myrtaceae. The transcript is spliced from 2 exons. The record is from RefSeq and is a predicted model, not a curated record.
CCAUCAUGGAAAAAGAACAGCAAAUAAAUUACUGUAUCAUUAACAUAAAAGGCCAAACAAUUCUUCCUCUAUAAAUUACUUAACCAAACUUCUCACUUCACUCCAUCAAGUCAAGCUCUUCAGUUCUUGUGUUCUGUGAAAAAAGGCUUGAAGAAUGAGGGCAGUGAUGCUUGUGUUGGUCCUGUCCAUGAUGCUGAGCACUGGCUUGGCCAUGAACAAAAGGGCUCAGUUCGUGGUUACCAACCACGAGGUGCGGAGACAGUAUCUGGAAAAGAACGAUGACCAGUUCAAGGAUCUUCCGGUCCCAGAAGGCACAACCACAGAUGGCCACCAUUACAUUCCUAGAGAUAAGUUCACCCCUUCCACGGGCACCUCCGAUGGUUCAGGAACUGCUGGUGGAGACUAAAAUCUACCCUAAGUUCUGGUUUAAGGCACCAGUGGUAUGAUGAAGCUGUGGUACUGGUAGUGUGUGUGCAUUGUAUGAGCUAUGUCAGCUUUUGCAAGUUAUGUGAAAUAGAAGAGAGUUUGCUGUUAUUGAAGUCCUGGUGCAGUUGUAAGCAUUCCUGGUUUUAUGCAUGAAAUAAGAGCAACAGUGACUUUGUAGUGUGCAACUUUAAGCUA